This is a long non-coding RNA of Mizuhopecten yessoensis (Yesso scallop), 121 nucleotides long. RefSeq lists it as uncharacterized. The record is from RefSeq and is a predicted model, not a curated record. NCBI's taxonomy places the organism in Eukaryota, Metazoa, Mollusca, Bivalvia, Pectinida, Pectinidae. The transcript has 3 exons.
UUCCUCAACUUCCACUACACUCGUGGCUCCCCGGACCCGUUUCCUACAUCGAUCAAUGGGAAAAGGUUUAUCCGACCUUCUGUACCGCUGCAGUUGCUACCUAGUGGUAAUGACACACACG